AGUUCUGCUCUUUCACUUGAGUUCUCACUCAACAUAUCUAUAUAUCUCAACAUCCGAGAGAAGAACAUAAAAGCAUCAUCUUACAGAGGAUGCAAAAGUCUAGAGACUGUGUCUGGAGUUCUCCAUCUUCUACUUGGCCAACCUUUGAAGUUAACCAGAUUGUUUUGUCUAAUUUUGUUUAUUUUGAUGAAAGAUGGAUGUAUAGAAGUAUAUAGGAUGUAGAUUAAAAUCGGUGAUGUGUGUGUGUAGAGAGAAAGUAAACACACAAAAAUGCAACGAAGUGUAGAGAGAGAGAGAGAGAGAAAGAAGUGUAGAGAGAGAGAGAGGAGUGGUAGAGUGCAACGAAGAACGUAAACACACAAAAAUGACUAACAAUAUCUACACAUGGAACACAAAAUUAAACGCCAACUUAAUCGUGAAAGACUAAACGAUCGCUAGGUGAAAUACAUAAAAGUCGACUAACGCUAACUUAACCGCCAAAGACAAAUUGCUAUACAAACACACAAAAAUGAGUAUUGCCGUGGAACAUCCACAUAAGACGAAGCGAAGCAAAACAAAAAUGACUAAACAUAUCGCUACACAAAACACACAAAAAUGAUUGGCGGCCUGACUCUGGCAUUAGUCGGAAGGCGUUCCAAACUCG
Arabidopsis thaliana (thale cress) is the source of this 643-nucleotide RNA transcript. RefSeq lists it as uncharacterized. The record is from RefSeq. NCBI's taxonomy places the organism in Eukaryota, Viridiplantae, Streptophyta, Magnoliopsida, Brassicales, Brassicaceae. The transcript has 2 exons.